GACGAACGCUGGCGGCGUGCUUAACACAUGCAAGUCGAGCGGUAAGGCCCUUUCGGGGUACGACGAGCGGCGAACGGGUGAGUAACACGUGGGUGACCUGCCUUUAGUCUCUGGGAGUAAAGCCGUCGGGAAAACCGGGGUACUAAUAACCGGAUAUGACUCCGCGGCGCAUGUUGUGGGGUGGAAAGCCUUGUGCGGCUGGAGAUGGGCCCGCGCUAUCAGCUUGUUGGUGGGGUGAUGGCCUACCAAGGCGACGA
RNAcentral lists this ribosomal RNA (257 nucleotides) under uncultured bacterium. Its description in RNAcentral is "partial 16S ribosomal RNA". It matches the Rfam family "Bacterial small subunit ribosomal RNA", at positions 28 to 279 of the family's 1533-position model. The record is from RNAcentral.